This 243-nucleotide ribosomal RNA is filed under the name uncultured Lactobacillus sp. RNAcentral's name for it is "partial 16S ribosomal RNA". It matches the Rfam family "Bacterial small subunit ribosomal RNA", at positions 119 to 355 of the family's 1533-position model. Lineage: Bacteria; Bacillati; Bacillota; Bacilli; Lactobacillales; Lactobacillaceae. The record is from RNAcentral.
GGGUAACCUGCCCAAGAGAUCGGGAUAACACCUGGAAACAGAUGCUAAUACCGGAUAACAACAGAUGAUGCCUAUCAACUGUUUAAAAGAUGGUUCUGCUAUCACUCUUGGAUGGACCUGCGGUGCAUUAGCUAGUUGGUAGGGUAACGGCUUACCAAGGCAAUGAUGCAUAGCCGAGUUGAGAGACUGAUCGGCCACAUUGGGACUGAGACACGGCCCAAACUCCUACGGGAGGCAGCAGUA